GCUUUUGAAGUGUAAUAAUACGCUUCUUUAAGCCCACCGCCCCAUUGGUAAGGAUGAGGUCGGCGGUUCGAAUCCGCCCAGCAGCUCCA
Molecule: transfer RNA, 89 nt
Filed under: Bacillota bacterium
Lineage: Bacteria; Bacillati; Bacillota
Description: tRNA-OTHER
Rfam family: tRNA
About the family: Transfer RNA (tRNA) molecules are approximately 80 nucleotides in length. Their secondary structure includes four short double-helical elements and three loops (D, anti-codon, and T loops).
Source: RNAcentral